Molecule: non-coding RNA, 2485 nt
Organism: Agelaius phoeniceus (red-winged blackbird)
Lineage: Eukaryota; Metazoa; Chordata; Aves; Passeriformes; Icteridae
Source: RefSeq, a predicted model, not a curated record
AAUGUUAACUAGUUUGGGAAUUUAAGCCAAUUAAAUUGUGUGAUCAUAAAUUUGAUUUUUUUUUUUGUGGGAUUGUCCCUUAGCCAUAUUUUAGGACACUUAGUGUAAUAUGUAAUGUACUGCAGAGGCUUGAAAAUACAGGAAUACUCAGCAGAUAACUGUAUUGUGUAUAUCAAGAACCUUUCCAUUACAAAGAUUUUAUUUUGUGCUAUUAAUCAUAAUUUUGGAUUACCAGCUCUGUUGGAAUAUUUUUGGAAUGCAAACUGACAACUUCUUGCAGGAUGUCUAACAGACCUAGGGACAAGUAGGCAAAUUUCUUUGUGUGAAAUGUAAGCUUGUUUGUGAUAAUGAAUUUCACUGAAAUUUUGUGCUUUUACCUUCAGGAGUCUUAUCAUAAGCUUAGGAGUGUGUUGUCUUUGACUGUAGCUCCUUUUAAAAAGGACAGCAGGAUAGGAUGUGUCUGGUGGUAUGAAGUUCUGCUGAGUUUCCAAUUCUAGAUAUUUUAAUCACUUCACCAGUUUAUAUAUUCACAGUGGAUGAAAGAUGUCUCAGCUGAGACAUGCUGAUGAAUAUGAAAGGAAGCAUAGUGUGCUUAGUCACAGAAAGGUUUGUGUGGGUUUCAGUAGUACUGUAAACAGAUGUGAGCUGAAGUUAAGGGAGAAAUAAACAGCUGUUUGGAUUCCUCUCUGAUUCACCCACUAGAGGUGAACCUCCCACCUCACUUUUUGGUGCUAUUUGAACAUUGGCAUCCUCAUAUGCAUUACUAUGGAUGUUACAUAUCUGCUGGCAGGAGACCUGGAAUGGUGAUAUAAAAAAUGGAAGCAGUUUAGCUGUUACAUAGCUCUGUUCCCUAUGGAUACCAAGGUGGUUUGAAGAAAAACCACAAUCCUUGUUUUACUGCUGGAGUAGACAAAAUAAGAGGUAUAAAGCAGUUUUACCAAAUUCAUCUAGGAAGUCAGUGGCAAAAAGGGGGAUUAAACCCACAGCCUACUCCAUUACUAUGUCCAUCUUAUAUCUUUGAAGGAAUGAAGGACAGAAGAAGAGGUGUUCUCUCUGAAUACACAGGUUGACCUGAAUUGGCAGGUGUUUUCCAUCUCUGUCAGGGAGAGACAUCCAUUCCUGCUCUCCUAGGCUUCCUCUUUGGAGGUAGCAUAUUACUUAUGGUAGGUAUAGGAAACAUAUUAAGCUAAGUAAGAAGAUCAGUUUAUUCUCCUAAAAGUGGUUGUCAGCGUAAGUGUUCAGUCAUGGCCAGCAGUAUCUGCUGCAGGUGAGAUUUUAGCUGGCAGCUAAAAUCACAACUAAACAUCACCAACUAGGCCUGUGAUGCCCCCUUGAGGCAGGGGAAGGGUUCAGUGCUGAGCCCAGAGCAGUCCUAUUGAGUUCCUCUUUGCAGUCAGAAGCACACAGUUGUGGACCACUGUGUGUCAGAGGAUGCUUGUAUUGUGCCCUGGGUGAUAUGCAGUGUGUGAUGUACCAGGCCGUGUAAUAGCUGAAGAUGCAUUGUAUCCAAGGUCUAGGGAAAUAAACUUUACAUCUGGUGUCACCUGAAUUGGAUUCCGCUUUUCUGAGGAGCUAGAUUUUGGUGGAACAUCGUGAUGUGCUUCUGGUUAUAAAUACUCACAAAAAGAUGUUUGCAAGCAUGAGGAGGAGCCAGAAGAAUAGAAGGAGACGUGGCUAGAAUCCAAGGCGAGAUUGGCAAAGCAAGCUGAUGGCAGCAGAACAGAAGAAUAGAGAGGGAAGGAUCAUCUGCUGAAGGUGUGGAAAACAGAAAGGCUUCACAACUCAAAUGUGGUGGUACCAAGGCGUGUGAUUUUUAUUUUUAUUUUGACUGGAAGAGAAACAGUUGAGCUUCAGGUUCUGCUGAGAGUUCAAUAUGAAGCUGCAGAGAAAAGCAAAAAUGACUUGAGAAACUGAAAUGGAAGAUGAAGCAUAGCCAAUAAAUAUGUACAUGUGCAUCAAAGAGAAAUGGAGAAUGCAGUUCACUUGGUGUGCCCUGUGUUUGCUGCAUUUGGCAGUGCACACAGAAAAGGAGAACAAGUAACCUGGCUUAAACUGCAAGCCAUAAAAACUUAACUUCCAAAGACUUUUCCUGCUUUAAAGACCAGCAAGUUAUUUCCUUAUUUUCUAUUUCUUUUAUACUUUCUUUGACUUCCCUUUGCUGAAUUUCUGUUGUCUUCUUAUUGUCAAAUGGCAGAUGUUUACACAAUUUUUGUUUGUUUGGUCCUGCUGUAUAAAAAUACUGGCAUUUUAAAGACAAAUGGCAACUUAGGGGGUACACAAAUACCUUGUAGCUCCUUUCAAUAGUAUUUCAUUCUGAUAUAAAGGUAAUAUGCUUUGCAGUGUUUCUAAAAGUCACCCUACCAUUCAAGGGUAGUGAUAGCAGAUGUGUGACAGCACAAUUGCCAUCAAACCUGCCCAGGUCAAGUGAACCUGUAUUGUUAAGGAUACUGUACUAAUCAAAUAAAUGCUGGACAGAUUGCUAUUA